CUCCUAAAUGUUCUGGGCCGCACGCGCACUACACUGAUUUAGGCAACAAGCUUCUGCCAUGCAGCCUGUUCCGAAGGGAUUGGGGAAUCUUGUGAGCCUGAAGCGUGACUGGGAUUGUCAAUUGAAAUUAUUUUCCACCAACGAGGAAUGUCUUGUAGGCGCGUUUCAUCAGAACGCACCGAAUACGUCCCUGGUUCUUGUACACACCGCCCGUCGUUGCCUGUGAUGGAUUUCGAGUAGAGCCAUCUGGACAGAUGCGUUGUCGAGCAAUCUUCGGCGCGUCGAAAAAUUUGGCAAUACUUGGAGUCUAGAAGAGGCAAAAGUCGUAACA
This 331-nucleotide ribosomal RNA is filed under the name uncultured eukaryote. Its description in RNAcentral is "partial 18S ribosomal RNA". It matches the Rfam family "Eukaryotic small subunit ribosomal RNA", at positions 1470 to 1796 of the family's 1831-position model. The record is from RNAcentral.